CUACGGGAGGCUGCAGUGGGGAAUAUUGGACAAUGGGCGCAAGCCUGAUCCAGCAAUGCCGCGUGAGUGAAGACGGCCUUAGGGUUGUAAAACUCUUUCGCUAGGGAAGAUAAUGACUGUACCUAGUAAAGAAGUCCCGGCUAACUCCGUGCCAGCAGCCGCGGUAAUACGGAGGGGACUAGCGUUGUUCGGAAUUACUGGGCGUAAAGAGUUCGUAGGCGGACUGACAAGUUAGAGGUGAAAUCCCAGGGCUCAACCCUGGAACUGCCUUUAAAACUGUCAGUCUAGAGACCGGAAGAGGUUAGGGGAAUACCUAGUGUAGAGGUGAUAUUCGUAGAUAUUAGGUGGAACACCAGUGGCGAAGGCGCCUAACUGGUCCGGUACUGACGCUGAGGAACGAAAGCGUGGGGAGCAAACAGGAUUAGAUACCCGCGUAGUC
This 439-nucleotide ribosomal RNA is filed under the name uncultured bacterium. RNAcentral describes it as "partial 16S ribosomal RNA". It matches the Rfam family "Bacterial small subunit ribosomal RNA", at positions 339 to 795 of the family's 1533-position model. The record is from RNAcentral.